Molecule: ribosomal RNA, 610 nt
Filed under: freshwater metagenome
Description: bacterial LSU rRNA
Rfam family: Bacterial large subunit ribosomal RNA
Source: RNAcentral
GCUAGGUACGGUCGGACAUCGUGCUAAUAGUGCAAUGGCAUAAGCGUGCUUAACUGCGAGACUGACAAGUCGAGCAGAUGCGAAAGCAGGACAUAGUGAUCCGGUGGUUCUGUAUGGAAGGGCCAUCGCUCAACGGAUAAAAGGUACUCUGGGGAUAACAGGCUGAUACCGCCCAAGAGUUCAUAUCGACGGCGGUGUUUGGCACCUCGAUGUCGGCUCAUCUCAUCCUGGGGCUGUAGCCGGUCCCAAGGGUAUGGCUGUUCGCCAUUUAAAGAGGUACGUGAGCUGGGUUUAAAACGUCGUGAGACAGUUUGGUCCCUAUCUUCCGUGGGCGCUGCAGAUUUGAGGAAGCCUGCUCCUAGUACGAGAGGACCGGAGUGGACGCACCUCUGGUGUACCGGUUGUCACGCCAGUGGCAUCGCCGGGUAGCUAUGUGCGGAAGAGAUAACCGCUGAAAGCAUCUAAGCGGGAAACUCGUUCCAAGAUGAGAUCUGCCGGGGGCUUGACCCCCCUGAAGAGUCGUUCAAGACCAGGACGUUGAUAGGCUGGGUGUGGAAGACGUGUAAGCGUUUAAGCUAACCAGUACUAAUUGCUCGUGAGGCUUGACCCU